GGCAUUUUUAGCCAGAAGCUAAGUUAGGACCAAGUUAAACUCGCUGGACAAGGGGACUCGCUUGCAGACGCCUCCUAAAUGCAUGCCUUGGGCUGAUUGUUAUCUCACCGUAAGGAGAGAGGAAGAAGCAGCAGAAGAGGCAGCAGUUGUAGGAGCCUUACGUGGACUGAUUUAUACCUGGAUCCACUUUGUCCUCUGAGCCUAGACAGGGCGGGGCAGGAGCGGUCAGCCUCGGCACUACGACAGCGGGGCCAGACAACUUUGUGUCUGGGGCUGCGGGCGGUCCUGUGCACCGCGGGGCCUUCAGCUGCAUCUCUGGUCUCUACCCACCACGCACAUCUUCCUCUGCACCCCGAGUCGUGACAACAAAGAAGAUCUCCAGUUCUGACAUGGAGAAUGGACCCGUGGACACGGUCGGGGGAGAGGGCGGGCUGAAGCGAGACAGCAGCUCUGAAAUAGAUAUGUGACUGUGUGUGGAACAGUGAGCUGAAGCGGGGCUGCUGUAUCACAGGGAGCUCAGCCCAGUGCUCUAUGAGGGCCUGGGUGGGGUGGGAGUGAGUGAGAGGGAGACCCAAGAGAGAGG
Molecule: long non-coding RNA, 583 nt
Filed under: Bos indicus x Bos taurus (hybrid cattle)
Lineage: Eukaryota; Metazoa; Chordata; Mammalia; Artiodactyla; Bovidae
Description: lncRNA (ENSBIXG00005021160.1)
Source: RNAcentral